CACAGGUUCUGUGUAAUACUCAAAAUGGAAGGGGCAGGAAUAGGGAGGACUGUUUUCUAGAUUGGGAACAAACUCAUAUUCAGUGAGUGUUCUUUACAUUUCAGAUUUCCAAAGAUGAACCGUGGCAGGCUGGUGACGUGGAUUCAUGCGGAUCCUGUUCAACCAACCCUCCAGAGAUUUCCAAAGAUGAACUGCGUCAGGCUGGUGAUGUGGAUGUAUGCGGAUCCUGCUCAACCAACCCUCCAGAGGUCUGUCCAGAACAAAGUUCAAGUAAGGUGACAUCAUAAAAAGAGAAGUAUGUUCCUGAUUCCGUAUAUGAUUCAAACUU
Molecule: non-coding RNA, 328 nt
Organism: Poecilia reticulata (guppy)
Lineage: Eukaryota; Metazoa; Chordata; Actinopteri; Cyprinodontiformes; Poeciliidae
Source: RefSeq, a predicted model, not a curated record